CUGUCCUCGCAUUCACAACUACAACCAAGAAUAGCAACAAAGUCACCCUCUUCGUUCUCAAAAGUAAGGAAAAUAAAACAAUUUUGAGACGGUGGACAACUGACCUUCUUGUCGAGCUUGAUCUUUCUCAUCCCACGUAAUCCAUGUCAGAUCGCCACCGCUUCCCGAAAAAUCAGCAACCUCCUUGCUCUCCCCACCUCCUAAUAUUAAAAUAUCGACAUGAUAGCAGCAACAACACAGGGAGGGUCUUGAAAAUGAAGUGCCAUGUUCAUACCGAAGGAAAAUAAUCAUGCUCAAAUAGAAAGAUAUGAAUUAUUAGUAGAAGGAAGACACCUAUUAUAGCAUGCAUAACUAUUCAGUAUGACCGCAAUGGUGUAUAAAAUUGACAAAUACUUUAUGGGAGGGGGAAGAACGACCACGGAAAUGAGGUGACGGUGAUGGUCGGUUGUGGGCUCAGUUUUGUUGAGGCUACGAUAACUGCCAACAGCGAGACUUGAAGCCAUACAUGGUGAUCGUGGAGUCCGUCUAUCUGAGUCGGCGCACGCGUCCAUCAAACCCAUACACAGCUACAUGAUUUGGAGGGAGUGACUGGCCAGCCACCACCAGAGCACUUGGUGGUAAAGAAUAAAUCAAUAUCUUCCUCUCACGCGAUUAGAAAGUUAGCGUAUUCCAAAAACAAAAGAAACAAGGCUAAAAAUGAACUGCUUGAACUCCUCUACCAGUAAUAAGCGGUCAUAGAAAGUCCAUUGCUGGCACCUCACUUCUUCUAUCAAAAUGCGUUCAACUACAUUAAUGUGUCAAAAUUGCAAGUGUAGUCAUAGGUGAAAAUUGAAAUUUUCUACGAUGGACAUGUAAAACAGUCUAGGUGAAUUAGGGAAAGUCGGUAGCACAAAGAAUGAAUAACCAAGCUGAUAACACAAAUAAUGAUUAACUAAGUUGAUAGCACAAACAAAAGUAACCACUGAUAGCAAAGAACAAUAUGAUCUACGAGUACAUGAGGAAGAAAUAUGUAAAAAAUAAUGGUAGCUAUCUGACUGUUUAAGCAGUUCAUCUCAAGGGCAGACAUAGUCAGUAAACAAAUAGGUGAAAAGAAGACUGAAGUUGUACCGUAAUUCAUCCAUGGCAGCUAUGUAGGAUGCAUUAUGAUGUGGUUCACUCCGAAAGAGGCUCCCUAUCCAAUCCAAAACCUGAAAUCGAUUAAUUACUCAAUGCCAGAUAAUCAAUGUACCACUACAUGGUACCAUGAAUCCAUAAUAACUAAUUAAUCUACAGCAAUUCUAGACAUCAUUGACACUUAGACGUUGUAAAACCAAAUUACAGACAGAUUUUCAGAUUAACCCGAGGCUAUAACCUUAUACGCACUACCACAUUCGAUGGACGGCGAAACAAUGUUCAGCACUACCACAUAUACUGUGAAUCUUCCCUGAACUUUUUAGUUUGA
This 1441-nucleotide long non-coding RNA is filed under the name Hordeum vulgare. RNAcentral's name for it is "long non-coding RNA (HVUL_LNC011612)". Lineage: Eukaryota; Viridiplantae; Streptophyta; Magnoliopsida; Poales; Poaceae. The record is from RNAcentral.